CAGGCACUGACUUCCCAAAGCCAGUAAGCUUGGUUCUUCCUUUGAUGUAUAGUUUUUCCAAUGUACGUAGUUUACCAGGCUCAAGCAAUGAUGGAAGUUCUGCUUCAGGGAAACACUGCAGGUCCAGUUUCACCAACUUCUUGGGAAGGUGGCUUGGAACUGGAUCUUUCUUUGGAAACUUGUGAAGCUCUGGUUCUGUGACUGGGCUAUUACCAAGGAGUGUCACCGUUCUGAAGAAUUCUUUUACUGGUCCAGCAGUUGGUUUGUCUUUGUUGUGUUCAUUAAUACCUCCCCAGGCCACUUUCAGCUUUUCCAGGUUGGAGAAGUCCUGAAUGUCCACAAACAGUUGAAAAACCGUGAAGUCGCCACCUUUGUUUAUAGCAAUGCUUAGCUUUCUCAGCUUCUUCAAGUGCUUCAGCUCAGCCAGCAGUACCAUCACAGGGGCAGAAACUAACUUGAGGGCUCUGAUACUUGUCCAAGAACUCCAGUUUUGGAAAGUAUAGUUCCCUCAGCUCCCUCCACUCCACUUUUAGCCUGGGAAGGAACUUCAGACGCAAAACCUUGACACUGCACUCUGUUGGCUUCUCAGGCACUGACUUCCCAAAGCCAGUAAGCUUGGUUCUUCCUUUGAUGUAUAGUUUUUCCAAUGUACGUAGUUUACCAGGCUCAAGCAAUGAUGGAAGUUCUGCUUCAGGGAAACACUGCAGGUCCAGUUUCACCAACUUCUUGGGAAGGUGGCUUGGAACUGGAUCUUUCUUUGGAAACUUGUGAAGCUCUGGUUCUGUGACUGGGCUAUUACCAAGGAGUGUCACCGUUCUGAAGAAUUCUUUUACUGGUCCAGCAGUUGGUUUGUCUUUGUUGUGUUCAUUAAUACCUCCCCAGGCCACUUUCAGCUUUUCCAGGUUGGAGAAGUCCUGAAU
RNAcentral lists this long non-coding RNA (920 nucleotides) under Brassica napus (rape). RNAcentral's name for it is "long non-coding RNA (BNAP_LNC012457)". Lineage: Eukaryota; Viridiplantae; Streptophyta; Magnoliopsida; Brassicales; Brassicaceae. The record is from RNAcentral.